CGACUCGAGGAAGAGCGCUGCAAAUUGCGGGACGAACUGGCGGUCGCGCAGAGCGCCUUGA
RNAcentral lists this ribosomal RNA (61 nucleotides) under Durinskia baltica. RNAcentral describes it as "partial 5.8S ribosomal RNA". Lineage: Eukaryota; Dinophyceae; Peridiniales; Kryptoperidiniaceae. The record is from RNAcentral.